RNAcentral lists this unclassified non-coding RNA (124 nucleotides) under rhizosphere metagenome. RNAcentral describes it as "partial ribosomal RNA internal transcribed spacer region". The record is from RNAcentral.
AAUAGUAUUUAUACUUUAUACACUUGUGAACUGUAUGGGAGUAACAUCCCAAUUAACUAUUUUUCAUAUACUGAAAUCAUGAUAUAACAAUCAUAAAACUUUUAGCAACGGAUCUCUAGGCUCU